AAAUUGAAGAGUUUGAUCAUGGCUCAGAUUGAACGCUGGCGGCAGGCCUAACACAUGCAAGUCGAACGGUAACAGGAAGCAGCUUGCUGCUUCGCUGACGAGUGGCGGACGGGUGAGUAAUGUCUGGGAAACUGCCUGAUGGAGGGGGAUAACUACUGGAAACGGUGGCUAAUACCGCAUAACGUCGCAAGACCAAAGAGGGGGACCUUCGGGCCUCUUGCCAUCAGAUGUGCCCAGAUGGGAUUAGCUGGUUGGUGAGGUAACGGCUCACCAAGGCGACGAUCCCUAGCUGGUCUGAGAGGAUGACCAGCCACACUGGAACUGAGACACGGUCCAGACUCCUACGGGAGGCAGCAGUGGGGAAUAUUGCACAAUGGGCGCAAGCCUGAUGCAGCCAUGCCGCGUGUAUGAAGAAGGCCUUCGGGUUGUAAAGUACUUUCAGCGGGGAGGAAGGUGUUGUGGUUAAUAACUGCAGCAAUUGACGUUACCCGCAGAAGAAGCACCGGCUAACUCCGUGCCAGCAGCCGCGGUAAUACGGAGGGUGCAAGCGUUAAUCGGAAUUACUGGGCGUAAAGCGCACGCAGGCGGUCUGUCAAGUCGGAUGUGAAAUCCCCG
RNAcentral lists this ribosomal RNA (615 nucleotides) under Salmonella enterica subsp. enterica serovar Kentucky. RNAcentral describes it as "bacterial SSU rRNA". It matches the Rfam family "Bacterial small subunit ribosomal RNA", at positions 1 to 605 of the family's 1533-position model. Lineage: Bacteria; Pseudomonadati; Pseudomonadota; Gammaproteobacteria; Enterobacterales; Enterobacteriaceae. The record is from RNAcentral.